GAUGAACGCUGGCGGCGUGCCUAAUACAUGCAAGUCGAGCGAACAGACGAGGAGCUUGCUCCUCUGACGUUAGCGGCGGACGGGUGAGUAACACGUGGAUAACCUACCUAUAAGACUGGGAUAACUUCGGGAAACCGGAGCUAAUACCGGAUAAUAUAUUGAACCGCAUGGUUCAAUAGUGAAAGACGGUUUUGCUGUCACUUAUAGAUGGAUCCGCGCCGCAUUAGCUAGUUGGUAAGGUAACGGCUUACCAAGGCGACGAUGCGUAGCCGACCUGAGAGGGUGAUCGGCCACACUGGAACUGAGACACGGUCCAGACUCCUACGGGAGGCAGCAGUAGGGAAUCUUACGCAAUGGGCGAAAGCCUGACGGAGCAACGCCGCGUGAGUGAUGAAGGUCUUCGGAACGUAAAACUCUGUUAUUAGGGAAGAACAAAUGUGUAAGUAACUAUGCACGUCUUGACGGUACCUAAUCAGAAAGCCACGGCUAACUACGUG
Molecule: ribosomal RNA, 497 nt
Filed under: uncultured bacterium
Lineage: Bacteria
Description: partial 16S ribosomal RNA
Rfam family: Bacterial small subunit ribosomal RNA
Source: RNAcentral